AUUGAACGCUGGCGGCAUGAUUUACACAUGCAAGUCGAACGGUAACAGGCCGCAAGGUGCUGACGAGUGGCGAACGGGUGCGUAAUGCAUCGGAACGUGCCCAGUCGUGGUGGAUAACUACUCGAAAGAGUAGCUAAUACCGCAUACGAUCUAUGGAUGAAAGCGGGGGACCGUAAGGCCUCGCGCGAUUGGAGCGGCCGAUGUCAGAUUAGGUAGUUGGCGGGGUAAAGGCUCACCAAGCCAACGAUCUGUAGCUGGUCUGAGAGGACGACCAGCCACACUGGGACUGAGACACGGCCCAGACUCCUACGGGAGGCAGCAGUGGGGAAUUUUGGACAAUGGGCGCAAGCCUGAUCCAGCAAUGCCGCGUGCAGGAAGAAGGCCUUCGGGUUGUAAAAUGCUUUUGUACGGAACGAAACGGCUCUGGUUAAUACCCGGGGCUAAUGACGGUACCGUAAGAAUAAGCACCGGCUAACUACGUG
This 482-nucleotide ribosomal RNA is filed under the name uncultured bacterium. RNAcentral's name for it is "partial 16S ribosomal RNA". It matches the Rfam family "Bacterial small subunit ribosomal RNA", at positions 30 to 507 of the family's 1533-position model. The record is from RNAcentral.